This 180-nucleotide non-coding RNA is filed under the name Pongo abelii (Sumatran orangutan). Lineage: Eukaryota; Metazoa; Chordata; Mammalia; Primates; Hominidae. The record is from RNAcentral.
ACUUUCUUGUAAAAAUGCCUGUUUGGGAUUCCUCAGAGUACGGAGAAAAAGGAAGGCUUGAUCAGCAUGUGGUGGAUCUGAAGAUUCAAAGAGGUGCCACGGCUCAAAAGCAGACAUUUUGGUAAAUGUGAAGAAGUGAGAUUCAAUGAAGAUGAUAAGAAAUGAAAGGUGUUGCCAAAA